This 87-nucleotide transfer RNA is filed under the name Variovorax sp. JS1663. RNAcentral's name for it is "tRNA-Cys". It matches the Rfam family "tRNA". From Rfam's summary of the family: Transfer RNA (tRNA) molecules are approximately 80 nucleotides in length. Their secondary structure includes four short double-helical elements and three loops (D, anti-codon, and T loops). The record is from RNAcentral. Lineage: Bacteria; Pseudomonadati; Pseudomonadota; Betaproteobacteria; Burkholderiales; Comamonadaceae.
AACGAGGUAGCCAAGCGGUCGAAGGCGCCGGUUUGCAAGUCCGGUGAGCGUUGCUCCACAUGGGUCCGAAUCCCAUCCUCGUUUCCA